Molecule: unclassified non-coding RNA, 332 nt
Filed under: soil metagenome
Description: partial contains 5.8S ribosomal RNA, internal transcribed spacer 2, and large subunit ribosomal RNA
Rfam family: 5.8S ribosomal RNA (bases 1-120)
Source: RNAcentral
GAUGAAGAACGUAGCGAAAUGCGAUAAGUAGUGUGAAUUGCAGAAUUCAGUGAAUCAUCGAAUCUUUGAACGCACAUUGCGCCCGCCAGUAUUCUGGCGGGCAUGCCUGUUCGAGCGUCAUUUCAACCCUCAAGCACAGCUUGGUGUUGGGACUCGCGUUAAUUCGCGUUCCUCAAAUUGAUUGGCGGUCACGUCGAGCUUCCAUAGCGUAGUAGUAAAACCCUCGUUACUGGUAAUCGUCGCGGCCACGCCGUUAAACCCCAACUUCUGAAUGUUGACCUCGGAUCAGGUAGGAAUACCCGCUGAACUUAAGCAUAUCAAUAAGCGGAGGA